GGGCGCGUAGCUCAGUGGGAGAGCAUCCGCCUUACAAGCGGAGGGUCGCAGGUUCGAAACCUGCCGCGCCCACCA
RNAcentral lists this transfer RNA (75 nucleotides) under Allocatelliglobosispora scoriae. RNAcentral describes it as "tRNA-Val". It matches the Rfam family "tRNA". From Rfam's summary of the family: Transfer RNA (tRNA) molecules are approximately 80 nucleotides in length. Lineage: Bacteria; Bacillati; Actinomycetota; Actinomycetes; Micromonosporales; Micromonosporaceae. The record is from RNAcentral. RNAcentral also lists the same sequence under 1 other name.